RNAcentral lists this transfer RNA (76 nucleotides) under Lactobacillus taiwanensis. RNAcentral describes it as "tRNA-Glu". It matches the Rfam family "tRNA". From Rfam's summary of the family: Transfer RNA (tRNA) molecules are approximately 80 nucleotides in length. Lineage: Bacteria; Bacillati; Bacillota; Bacilli; Lactobacillales; Lactobacillaceae. The record is from RNAcentral.
CCCGUUGGUCAAGUGGUUAAGACACCGCCCUUUCACGGCGGUAACAUGAGUUCAAAUCUCGUACGGGUCAUUACCA